AUUGAACGCUGGCGGCAGGCCUAACACAUGCAAGUCGAGCGAGCGGCGGACGGGUGAGUAAUGUAUGGGGAUCUGCCUGAUGGAGGGGGAUAACUACUGGAAACGGUAGCUAAUACCGCAUACCAUCAGAUGAACCCCUAUGGGAUUAGCUAGUGGGUGGGGUAACGGCUUACCUAGGCGACGAUCCCUAUCUGGUCUGAGAGGAUGAUCAGCCACACGGGAACGGAGACACGGCCCAGACUCCUACGGGAGGCGGCAGUGGGGAAGAGUGCACAAUGGGCGCAAGCCUGAUGCAGCCAUGCCGCGUGUAUGAAGAAGGCCUUCGGGUUGGAAAGUACUUUCAGUCGGGAGGCGUUACCGACAGAAGAAGCACCGGCUAACUCCGUGCCAGCCGCCGCGGUAAUUC
RNAcentral lists this ribosomal RNA (406 nucleotides) under uncultured bacterium. RNAcentral describes it as "partial 16S ribosomal RNA". It matches the Rfam family "Bacterial small subunit ribosomal RNA", at positions 30 to 526 of the family's 1533-position model. The record is from RNAcentral.